RNAcentral lists this ribosomal RNA (526 nucleotides) under uncultured bacterium. Its description in RNAcentral is "bacterial SSU rRNA". It matches the Rfam family "Bacterial small subunit ribosomal RNA", at positions 10 to 523 of the family's 1533-position model. The record is from RNAcentral.
AGUUUGAUCCUGGCUCAGAGUGAACGCUGGCGGCAGGCCUAACACAUGCAAGUCGAACGGCAGCACAGUAAGAGCUUGCUCUUAUGGGUGGCGAGUGGCGGACGGGUGAGGAAUACAUCGGAAUCUACUCUUUCGUGGGGGAUAACGUAGGGAAACUUACGCUAAUACCGCAUACGACCUACGGGUGAAAGCGGAGGACCUUCGGGCUUCGCGCGGUUGAAUGAGCCGAUGUCGGAUUAGCUAGUUGGCGGGGUAAAGGCCCACCAAGGCGACGAUCCGUAGCUGGUCUGAGAGGAUGAUCAGCCACACUGGAACUGAGACACGGUCCAGACUCCUACGGGAGGCAGCAGUGGGGAAUAUUGGACAAUGGGCGCAAGCCUGAUCCAGCCAUGCCGCGUGGGUGAAGAAGGCCUUCGGGUUGUAAAGCCCUUUUGUUGGGAAAGAAAAGCAGUCGGUUAAUACCCGAUUGUUCUGACGGUACCCAAAGAAUAAGCACCGGCUAACUUCGUGCCAGCAGCCGCGGUAA